UCCUACGGGAGGCAGCAGUGGGGAAUAUUGCACAAUGGGGCGCAAGCCUGAUGCAGCAACGCCGCGUGAGGGACGAAGGCCUUCGGGUUGUAAACCUCUUUUAGUAGGGAAGAAGCGACUGGGUUUUCCUGGGAGUGACGGUACCUGCAGAAAAAGCACCGGCUAACUACGUGCCAGCAACCGCGGUAAUACGUAGGGUGCAAGCGUUGUCCGGAAUUAUUGGGCGUAAAGAGCUCGUAGGCGGUUUGUCGCGUCUGCUGUGAAAACCCGAGGCUCAACCUCGGGCCUGCAGUGGGUACGGGCAGACUAGAGUGCGGUAGGGGAGAUUGGAAUCCUGGUGUAGCGGUGGAAUGCGGAGAUAUCAGGAGGAACACCAAUGGCGAAGGCAGAUCUCUGGGCCGUAACUGACGCUGAGGAGCGAAAGCAUGGGGAGCGAACAGGAUUAGAUACCCUGGCAGUCCAUGCCGUAAACGUUGGGAACUAGAUGUGGGGACCAUUCCACGGUCUCCGUGUCGCAGCUAACGCAUUAAGUUCCCCGCCUGGGGAGUACGGCCGCAAGGCUAAAACUCAAAGGAAUUGACGGGGGCCCGCACAAGCGGCGGAGCAUGCGGAUUAAUUCGAUGCAACGCGAAGAACCUUACCAAGGCUUGACAUAUACCGGAAACGGCUGGAAACAGUCGCCCCGCAAGGUCGGUAUACAGGUGGUGCAUGGUUGUCGUCAGCUCGUGUCGUGAGAUGUUGGGUUAAGUCCCGCAACGAGCGCACCCUCGUCCUAUGUUGCCAGCACGUAAUGGUGGGAACUCAUGGGAUACUGCCGGGGUCAACUCGGAGGAAGGUGGGGAUGACGUCAAAUCAUCAUGCCCCUUAUGUCUUGGGCUUCACGCAUGCUACAAUGGCCGGU
RNAcentral lists this ribosomal RNA (901 nucleotides) under uncultured Cryobacterium sp. RNAcentral's name for it is "bacterial SSU rRNA". It matches the Rfam family "Bacterial small subunit ribosomal RNA", at positions 337 to 1238 of the family's 1533-position model. The record is from RNAcentral. Lineage: Bacteria; Bacillati; Actinomycetota; Actinomycetes; Micrococcales; Microbacteriaceae.